GGACUACUAGGGUUUCUAAUCCCGUUUGCUCCCCUGGCCUUCGUGUCUCAGUGUCAGGAACUGUCCAGAGACCCGCCUUCGCCACUGGUCUUCCUUACGAUAUCUACGCAUUUCACUGCUACACCGUAAAUUCCAGUCUCCUCUCCAGUCCUCAAGCACCGCAGUAUCGAAUGCAGUUUCAGAGUUAAGCUCUAAAAUUUCACACCCGACUUACGGCGCCACCUACACACCCUUUACGCCCAAUGAAUCCGAACAACGCUUGAGACCUCUGUAUUACCGCGGCUGCUGGCAC
This 292-nucleotide ribosomal RNA is filed under the name uncultured bacterium. RNAcentral's name for it is "partial 16S ribosomal RNA". RNAcentral also lists the same sequence under 1 other name. The record is from RNAcentral.